This is a non-coding RNA of Myotis davidii, 76 nucleotides long. Lineage: Eukaryota; Metazoa; Chordata; Mammalia; Chiroptera; Vespertilionidae. The record is from Rfam.
AGUGGUUCUCGGGUGAUGCACCUUGGAACCAGAGAGGAGGGAGCUUGGUUCUGGGGUGCAUCACCGGAGAACUGCC